This 520-nucleotide ribosomal RNA is filed under the name uncultured Glomus. RNAcentral's name for it is "SSU rRNA". It matches the Rfam family "Eukaryotic small subunit ribosomal RNA", at positions 569 to 1092 of the family's 1831-position model. The record is from RNAcentral. Lineage: Eukaryota; Fungi; Glomeromycota; Glomeromycetes; Glomerales; Glomeraceae.
AGCAGCCGCGGUAAUUCCAGCUCCAAUAGCGUAUAUUAAAGUUGUUGCAGUUAAAAAGCUCGUAGUUGAAUUUCGGGGUCAGUAGGUCGGUCGUGCCACUGGUAUGAACUGGUUUCACUGAUUCCUCCCUCUUGUAGAACCGUGAUGCCAUUAAUUUGGUGUUGCGGGGAAACAGGACUGUUACUUUGAAAAAAUUAGAGUGUUUAAAGCAAGCUAACGCUUGAAUACAUUAGCAUGGAAUAAUGAAAUAGGACGUCUGCCUUAUUUUGUUGGUUUCUAGGAUGGACGUAAUGAUUAAUAGGGAUAGUUGGGGGCAUUAGUAUUCAAUUGUCAGAGGUGAAAUUCUUGGAUUUAUUGAAGACUAACUACUGCGAAAGCAUUUGCCAAGGAUGUUUUCAUUAAUCAAGAACGAAAGUUAGGGGAUCGAAGACGAUCAGAUACCGUCGUAGUCUUAACCAUAAACUAUGCCGACUAGGGAUCGGAUGAUGUUAAUUUUUAAUGACUCAUUCGGCGCCUUACG